AUUCAGCUGAAGAGUUCAAACACAGGACGAAACGCUCUUCCUGGAU
Molecule: non-coding RNA, 46 nt
Filed under: Schistosoma margrebowiei
Lineage: Eukaryota; Metazoa; Platyhelminthes; Trematoda; Strigeidida; Schistosomatidae
Source: RNAcentral